GUUAAAAUGGCCAGCGUGAGGAAUUAUUAAUUAAAGCUAACAAAUCACCCUGACGAGCUGUGCCCUGGCAUGGCUGAAGGUUGAUUGGCGAAAGUGUUCUCCUUUGGAGAAAAGACUUUUUGUGCUCGUGACGCAGUCAGGGACGGAUUAUUGAAUAUGCAAGUUAGAAGAAAAAUCACAGGACAAGCAAAUUGAGUAUUUACUGGCAAAUAAUUGCUCUCUUAAGCUGUGGCUCUCUUCCUAAAUUCUUAACAUUCCCGAGGGUUAGAAAGAAACACAGAAAAAUGCAUCGGUACAGAGUACAUUUCAAAAAAAAUACAUAGACUGAUGUUUCAGACUUGUGCAGAAUGUAUCGCCAUCACUAACUGGAUAUUCCUCACAACUUUGCUGUCCGCAGUGGCUGGCACUUUUCCUCCACGCUUUGAGAGAAAGAGAAUUGGCUGGAAUAAAACCUUGCCUUCCAUAUGGUCGACUUGAAAUACAGCAUUGAAAAGAUAUCAAUUGCAUGAGAAAAGUGAGAUGAUGUAAGAGAUCAGUACUGCAGGCAGACUUCCCACAAGUUUUCAUCGUACCUGAUAAAGAAUGAACGGAAGCUACAGCCAUUGGAUUCCUGCACAGUGCUUUGUGCAAAAUGAGCAUGAAUUUUCCUUUUGCCUCUCACCCCCAAAUAAGCAGGAAUCCCCAAUAUAAUCAACAGUAGUUCUGAUUCCAUGGCAAUAAGCCCAAAACCUGAGUAAGGCAUAGAAUAUACACAUACACAUGUAUCGCUUCCAGGGAACCACAUGGUUUUUGAUCAGGACUGAUCUGCGUGUAAAUUUAAACCUGCUGUAGAGGCACCUUCUUCACUGGUUUCAUGUAAAUGCAUAAAUGCUAUUUGAGGAAAAAAAGAAGAUAUCCAAGUACCCUAAGAAAAAUUACUAGAUUAUAAAUUGUCCUGAGAUGGCACAUCUAUCAUUGAUGAAAGCACUACUAUAUCUUUGGCUUAAGAAUUACAAACAAUAGAAAAUAAUAUAAAAAAUGAAAAUGCACCCUUUAAAUAAUGUUGCAAUAAGGUAACAUUUUCCACUUAGUGGUGGAAUUUUUGUAUCUCCUUAUUGUAAGCCUUAAACAUC
This 1112-nucleotide long non-coding RNA is filed under the name Ursus maritimus (polar bear). RNAcentral's name for it is "lncRNA (ENSUMAG00000025335.1)". The record is from RNAcentral. Lineage: Eukaryota; Metazoa; Chordata; Mammalia; Carnivora; Ursidae.